AACCCUUGUCCUUAGUUACCAGCACGUUAUGGUGGGCACUCUAAGGAGACUGCCGGUGACAAACCGGAGGAAGGUGGGGAUGACGUCAAGUCAUCAUGGCCCUUACGGCCUGGGCUACACACGUGCUACAAUGGUCGGUACAAAGGGUUGCCAAGCCGCGAGGUGGAGCUAAAUCCCAUAAAACCGAUCGUAGUCCGGAUCGCAGUCUGCAACUCGACUGCGUGAAGUCGGAAUCGCUAGUAAUCGUGAAUCAGAAUGUCACGGUGAAUACGUUCCCGGGCCUU
This 284-nucleotide ribosomal RNA is filed under the name uncultured Pseudomonas sp. RNAcentral describes it as "partial 16S ribosomal RNA". It matches the Rfam family "Bacterial small subunit ribosomal RNA", at positions 1100 to 1382 of the family's 1533-position model. Lineage: Bacteria; Pseudomonadati; Pseudomonadota; Gammaproteobacteria; Pseudomonadales; Pseudomonadaceae. The record is from RNAcentral.